CGUGAGAAACAUGCCCUUCUGAGGUGGAUAAUCGGCCCAACUGCCGGGUAAAACCUCGUACUACCUUCGGAUGGCAUCACCUGUGGUUGAAAGCUCCCGUGUACCGAUGGACUGUCUCUGGACCUUUCCGCUAUUUGAUGAGGUAAUGGCUCACCAAGGCGACGACGGGUAGCUGGUCUGAGAGGAUGAUCAUCCACAUUGGGACUGAGACACGGCCCAGACUCCUACGGGAGGCAGCAGUGGGGAAUCUUGCGCAAUGGCCGAAAGGCUGACGCAUCGACGCCGCGUGUGGGAUGAAGGUCUUCGGAUUGUAAACCACUGUCGGGAGGGACGAAGCUCUGACGGUACCUCCAAAGGAAGCACCGGCUAACUCUGUGCCAGCAGCCGCGGUAAUACAGAGGGUGCGAGCGUUGUCCGGAAUCACUGGGCGUAAAGGGCGCGUAGGCGGCCUGGUAAGUCGGGGGUGAAACGCUGCGGCUCAACCGCAGCACUGCCUUCGAGACUGUCAGGCUUGAGCACGGUAGAGGCUGGUGGAAUUCCCGGUGUAGCGGUGGAAUGCGUAGAGAUCGGGAAGAACAUCGGUGGCGAAGGCGGCCAGCUGGGCCGUUGCUGACGCUGAGGCGCGACAGCGUGGGGAGCAAGCAGGAUUAGAUACCCUGGUAGUCCACGCCGUAAACGAUGGGUACUAGGUGUCGGGGGGAGUGACCCUUUCGGUGCCGUAGCUAACGCAGUAAGUACCCCGCCUGGGGAGUACGGUCG
Molecule: ribosomal RNA, 759 nt
Filed under: uncultured bacterium
Lineage: Bacteria
Description: bacterial SSU rRNA
Rfam family: Bacterial small subunit ribosomal RNA
Source: RNAcentral